Molecule: ribosomal RNA, 467 nt
Filed under: uncultured bacterium
Lineage: Bacteria
Description: partial 16S ribosomal RNA
Rfam family: Bacterial small subunit ribosomal RNA
Source: RNAcentral
GACGAACGCUGGCGGCGUGCUUAACACAUGCAAGUCGAACGGAAAGGCCCUGCUUUUGUGGGGUGCUCGAGUGGCGAACGGGUGAGUAACACGUGAGUAACCUGUCCUUGACUUUGGGAUAACUUCAGGAAACUGGGGCUAAUACCGGAUAGGAGCUCCUGCUGCAUGGUGGGGGUUGGAAAGUUUCGGCGGUUGGGGAUGGACUCGCGGCUUAUCAGCUUGUUGGUGGGGUAGUGGCUUACCAAGGCUUUGACGGGUAGCCGGCCUGAGAGGGUGACCGGCCACAUUGGGACUGGGAUACGGCGCAGACGCCUACGGGGGGCAGCAGAGGAGAAGAUUGCGCAAUAGGCGGAAGCAUGAUGCAGCAACGCCGGGUGCGAGAUGACGGCCUUCGGGGUAUAAACCGCGUUCGAGUGUGACGAAGCGUGAGUAACGGUACUGGGUAAAGAAGCACCGGCUAACUACGU